RNAcentral lists this non-coding RNA (24 nucleotides) under Arabidopsis thaliana (thale cress). Lineage: Eukaryota; Viridiplantae; Streptophyta; Magnoliopsida; Brassicales; Brassicaceae. The record is from RNAcentral.
UCAACCAAUUCCCAGCCUUCUUCA